UCAAAAUUUCAUAUCUUCUAGGUAGACAUGAUACGUUGCUAGACGUCAAUCAUGUCUUGUGAGUUUGAUCAAAUUCAAGAGUUUAAUUCGAUCAUUAAUUAAAAGCUGUUCUAAUUGAUCAAAAUGGUUCAGCUUGAUUUGACCUAAAUCGGCUGGGUUGUGUUCUAACCAAAUUAGACUAAAUUACAUCUGGACUCACUGCUCGCUAGAUGUGAAAUCCAAUGGGUCACACACAAAGGGAAUUGAUCAUGAGUUUAAUUUGAUUAAACCAUGUUUGCAAGUUGAACAUGCUAGGACAUGUUGCAAACCCUAGCAUUUAGAUUCGAAUCGAAUUCGAAUUGGGUUUCGAUUUGGGAUAAUUUAGAACCAAUUUGAGCCAAAUUGGAUUUGGUCUUGAAGUGGGUUCGAAGUGUUUUAAUUGGGCUUGCUGUUGGGUGCCAAAAACUAGGAAACCACACGCCUAAGAAUCUCUCUCUUGGCGUGUGGAUUUGAAUCCAUGCGCAUGAGCCACAUGGCGCAUGGAUGGAGUUGGCACCACCUUUAGAUAAGGUCUUUCCUAUUUUUU
This 565-nucleotide long non-coding RNA is filed under the name Elaeis guineensis (African oil palm). RNAcentral's name for it is "long non-coding RNA (EGUI_LNC045337)". Lineage: Eukaryota; Viridiplantae; Streptophyta; Magnoliopsida; Arecales; Arecaceae. The record is from RNAcentral.